AGUCGAGGGGUAGAUGGUGCUUGCACCAUUGAGACCGGCGCACGGGUGCGUAACGCGUAUGCAACCUACCUUGAACAGGGGGAUAGCCCAGAGAAAUUUGGAUUAAUACCCCAUGGUAUUAUAGAGUGGCAUCACUUUAUUAUUAAAGUCACAACGGUUCAAGAUGGGCAUGCGUCCCAUUAGUUAGUUGGUAAGGUAACGGCUUACCAAGACGAUGAUGGGUAGGGGUCCUGAGAGGGAGAUCCCCCACACUGGUACUGAGACACGGACCAGACUCCUACGGGAGGCAGCAGUGAGGAAUAUUGGUCAAUGGGCGCAAGCCUGAACCAGCCAUGCCGCGUGCAGGAUGAAGCAUCUAUGGUGUGUAAACUGCUUUUGUACGGGAAGAAACCCUGCCUCGUGAGGCAGAUUGACGGUACCGUAAG
Molecule: ribosomal RNA, 425 nt
Filed under: uncultured Bacteroidota bacterium
Lineage: Bacteria; Pseudomonadati; Bacteroidota
Description: bacterial SSU rRNA
Rfam family: Bacterial small subunit ribosomal RNA
Source: RNAcentral